This 1684-nucleotide ribosomal RNA is filed under the name Escherichia coli. RNAcentral describes it as "partial 23S ribosomal RNA". It matches the Rfam family "Bacterial large subunit ribosomal RNA", at positions 1 to 1735 of the family's 2925-position model. Lineage: Bacteria; Pseudomonadati; Pseudomonadota; Gammaproteobacteria; Enterobacterales; Enterobacteriaceae. The record is from RNAcentral.
CGACUAAGCGUACACGGUGGAUGCCCUGGCAGUCAGAGGCGAUGAAGGACGUGCUAAUCUGCGAUAAGCGUCGGUAAGGUGAUAUGAACCGUUAUAACCGGCGAUUUCCGAAUGGGGAAACCCAGUGUGAUUCGUCACACUAUCAUUAACUGAAUCCAUAGGUUAAUGAGGCGAACCGGGGGAACUGAAACAUCUAAGUACCCCGAGGAAAAGAAAUCAACCGAGAUUCCCCCAGUAGCGGCGAGCGAACGGGGAGGAGCCCAGAGCCUGAAUCAGUGUGUGUGUUAGUGGAAGCGUCUGGAAAGGCGCGCGAUACAGGGUGACAGCCCCGUACACAAAAAUGCACAUGCUGUGAGCUCGAUGAGUAGGGCGGGACACGUGGUAUCCUGUCUGAAUAUGGGGGGACCAUCCUCCAAGGCUAAAUACUCCUGACUGACCGAUAGUGAACCAGUACCGUGAGGGAAAGGCGAAAAGAACCCCGGCGAGGGGAGUGAAAAAGAACCUGAAACCGUGUACGUACAAGCAGUGGGAGCCUCUUUAUGGGGUGACUGCGUACCUUUUGUAUAAUGGGUCAGCGACUUAUAUUCUGUAGCAAGGUUAACCGAAUAGGGGAGCCGAAGGGAAACCGAGUCUUAACUGGGCGUUAAGUUGCAGGGUAUAGACCCGAAACCCGGUGAUCUAGCCAUGGGCAGGUUGAAGGUUGGGUAACACUAACUGGAGGACCGAACCGACUAAUGUUGAAAAAUUAGCGGAUGACUUGUGGCUGGGGGUGAAAGGCCAAUCAAACCGGGAGAUAGCUGGUUCUCCCCGAAAGCUAUUUAGGUAGCGCCUCGUGAAUUCAUCUCCGGGGGUAGAGCACUGUUUCGGCAAGGGGGUCAUCCCGACUUACCAACCCGAUGCAAACUGCGAAUACCGGAGAAUGUUAUCACGGGAGACACACGGCGGGUGCUAACGUCCGUCGUGAAGAGGGAAACAACCCAGACCGCCAGCUAAGGUCCCAAAGUCAUGGUUAAGUGGGAAACGAUGUGGGAAGGCCCAGACAGCCAGGAUGUUGGCUUAGAAGCAGCCAUCAUUUAAAGAAAGCGUAAUAGCUCACUGGUCGAGUCGGCCUGCGCGGAAGAUGUAACGGGGCUAAACCAUGCACCGAAGCUGCGGCAGCGACGCUUAUGCGUUGUUGGGUAGGGGAGCGUUCUGUAAGCCUGCGAAGGUGUACUGUGAGGUAUGCUGGAGGUAUCAGAAGUGCGAAUGCUGACAUAAGUAACGAUAAAGCGGGUGAAAAGCCCGCUCGCCGGAAGACCAAGGGUUCCUGUCCAACGUUAAUCGGGGCAGGGUGAGUCGACCCCUAAGGCGAGGCCGAAAGGCGUAGUCGAUGGGAAACAGGUUAAUAUUCCUGUACUUGGUGUUACUGCGAAGGGGGGACGGAGAAGGCUAUGUUGGCCGGGCGACGGUUGUCCCGGUUUAAGCGUGUAGGCUGGUUUUCCAGGCAAAUCCGGAAAAUCAAGGCUGAGGCGUGAUGACGAGGCACUACGGUGCUGAAGCAACAAAUGCCCUGCUUCCAGGAAAAGCCUCUAAGCAUCAGGUAACAUCAAAUCGUACCCCAAACCGACACAGGUGGUCAGGUAGAGAAUACCAAGGCGCUUGAGAGAACUCGGGUGAAGGAACUAGGCAAAAUGGUGCCGUAACU